RNAcentral lists this long non-coding RNA (235 nucleotides) under Lathyrus oleraceus (garden pea). Its description in RNAcentral is "Pisum sativum (pea) long non-coding RNA (PSAT_LNC017078)". Lineage: Eukaryota; Viridiplantae; Streptophyta; Magnoliopsida; Fabales; Fabaceae. The record is from RNAcentral.
UGAUUAUUCUAUUCACUUUCGCAAAGAAGGUUAAUUGUUUACACGUGAAUCACAACCAUCUCUCACUUAGCAAGUGGAAAGAACAACCUAUUUAUAAACUACUAGCACAUGUAUGUUAUGUUCGACAAUUAAUCUAUUACAUGACAUGCAUAUCUACUAGACCAAUAAAUCAAGUAAGAUGCAUGAUGUAAUAUACACGAUCAGACUUCAAUAAUAACAUGUAUGAACAGACUUC